AGUGAACGCUGGCGGUAGGCCUAACACAUGCAAGUCGAACGGCAGCACAGUAAGAGCUUGCUCUUACGGGUGGCGAGUGGCGGACGGGUGAGGAAUACAUCGGAAUCUACUUUUUCGUGGGGGAUAACGUAGGGAAACUUACGCUAAUACCGCAUACGACCUACGGGUGAAAGCAGGGGAUCUUCGGACCUUGCGCGAUUGAGUGAGCCGAUGUCGGAUUAGCUAGUUGGCGGGGUAACGGCCCACCAAGGCGACGAUCCCUAGCUGGUCUGAGAGGAGGAGCAGCCACACUGGAACUGAGACACGGUCCAGACUACUACGGGAGGCAGCAGUGGGGAAUAUUGGACAAAGGGCGCAAGCCUGAUGCCGCCAUGCCGGGUGGAUGAAGAAGGCCUUCGGGUUGUAAAGUACUUUCAGCGGGGAGGAAGGGAGUAAAGUUAAUACCUUUGCUCAUUGACGUUACCCGCAGAAGAAGCACCGGCUAACUCCGUG
RNAcentral lists this ribosomal RNA (492 nucleotides) under uncultured bacterium. RNAcentral describes it as "partial 16S ribosomal RNA". It matches the Rfam family "Bacterial small subunit ribosomal RNA", at positions 29 to 507 of the family's 1533-position model. The record is from RNAcentral.